UACAGAGGGUGCAAGCGUUACUCGGAAUUACUGGGCGUAAAGCGCGCGUAGGUGGUUUGUUAAGUUGAAUGUGAAAUCCCCGGGCUCAACCUGGGAACUGCAUCCAAAACUGGCAAGCUAGAGUAGGGCAGAGGGUGGUGGAAUUUCCUGUGUAGCGGUGAAAUGCGUAGAUAUAGGAAGGAACACCAGUGGCGAAGGCGACCACCUGGGCUCAUACUGACACUGAGGUGCGAAAGCGUGGGGAGCAAACAGG
This 253-nucleotide ribosomal RNA is filed under the name uncultured bacterium. RNAcentral describes it as "partial 16S ribosomal RNA". It matches the Rfam family "Bacterial small subunit ribosomal RNA", at positions 524 to 776 of the family's 1533-position model. The record is from RNAcentral.